GACGUAGGGCGUGAGCGUUGUCCGGAUUUAUUGGGCGUAAAGAGCUCGUAGGCGGUUUGUCGCGUCGUCCGUGAAAACCUGUGGCUUAACUACAGGCUUGCGGUCGAUACGGGCAGGCUAGAGUUCGGUAGGGGAGACUGGAAUUCCUGGUGUAGCGGUGAAAUGCGCAGAUAUCAGGAGGAACACCGGUGGCGAAGGCGGGUCUUUGGGCCGAUACUGACGCUGAGGAGCGAAAGCGUGGGGAGCGAACAGG
RNAcentral lists this ribosomal RNA (253 nucleotides) under uncultured bacterium. RNAcentral's name for it is "partial 16S ribosomal RNA". It matches the Rfam family "Bacterial small subunit ribosomal RNA", at positions 524 to 776 of the family's 1533-position model. The record is from RNAcentral.